CGGACCGCUGGCUGGGCGGCAUGCGCCGGCUGGCGGCCGGCCUCGGCUGAGGCGGUUCAACGGCGCCGGUCCCACCA
RNAcentral lists this transfer RNA (77 nucleotides) under Planosporangium mesophilum. Its description in RNAcentral is "tRNA-Ala". Lineage: Bacteria; Bacillati; Actinomycetota; Actinomycetes; Micromonosporales; Micromonosporaceae. The record is from RNAcentral.